Molecule: long non-coding RNA, 1149 nt
Filed under: Chrysemys picta bellii (western painted turtle)
Lineage: Eukaryota; Metazoa; Chordata; Testudines; Emydidae
Description: lncRNA (ENSCPBG00000007406.1)
Source: RNAcentral
ACAAAGUGAGUAGGUGCUGGGAACUAGCAGUUAGUCACACACUGAGAAAUGGAAGGAAGGAGUUGGGGUGAUGUUGGCAAAAGAAGAAACGAUAACAAGAUCGAAAUAAACAAAUUUGCUUCCUAGGACAGCAGAGGUACAGAUCAUAAUGAGAUCUGAAGGGAGAUAAACUCAGGGACUGAGGAAGCCAGCAAUGCAUUCUGGCAGCUAUCAAAGAUGUGUACCAAAUGAAGAUCAGUUUAAAAAGUAAAAUGAAACUGUGCAGUUUUAAUUUAUUCUUUUGGGGAGAUUCAGGCAGCUAUUGAGGGCCAAACUCUGCCCUGAUGUAAACAGAUCAGAUCUCUCUUGAAGUCAGAGAGAGAGCAAGAGGGAGAGGCUGCAGUAAAGCAGGGGGAUGAUUCAGGAGAAUUUCAAAGGCGGGUGGAUUGGACAGGGAUUGUUCGUAAUCAAAUGACAGCAGCCGGCCACCCACAAGGAGAUUUACAGGAUAGCUAACCCACUGUUUGUAUUAUAUAAAUACCAUCCGUCUGAGAGCCUGCCUUUCUCUGGCACUCAGCAGGCUUUCUGACUAAUAAAGAUCAUCUAAACCUAGUGGUUGACCACAGGGAAACAUAAGAAAAGGCAGGUGGCAAAGGAGCAUAGCAGAGAUAUUAUUAAUGGGAAAGGUGAGAUGAUAGGCACCACCUAUAUUUAAACCAUUAUUAUUCUGCUGAACACAGUGAUCCUAGUGUUACUGUCCCUGGCUCUGUUUCUCUGACUUGCUAUUUAUUUUCAAUGUUUAGGUAAACAAAUCUAGUGCUAGUGGUUAUGAAUAUAACUGCAAUCAAAACAACAAUCAAAGUAAUUCUUUCUUCCUACCAGUUACCAGCAUGAAGCCUGGAGGCAACAGACUUCAACCGAUAACCUUCCCAAGAUGCUAUUUCAUUUGCUAAGUCAUGUUGAAUGCUAUCAAUUCCUUUUCAGAAUCAAGAUCUGGUGGAGGAAAAAUUAAAUGAAGCCAUCGAGGAAGGGCGGCUAAGAGAAGAAAAAGUUUGACACAAAAUCACAGAAGGGUAAUAAGAGGGAGCAUUCCCAGCCAGCUCUUUAUCUCCUGUUGAUGUGCCCUCAAUGCAACUGAAGGACUUGUACAUAUCCACUCCUAGGACUGCA